This 445-nucleotide ribosomal RNA is filed under the name uncultured bacterium. RNAcentral's name for it is "partial 16S ribosomal RNA". It matches the Rfam family "Bacterial small subunit ribosomal RNA", at positions 354 to 796 of the family's 1533-position model. The record is from RNAcentral.
GUAGGGAAUAUUGGGCAAUGGAGGCAACUCUGACCCAGCCAUGUCGCGUGCAGGAUGACGGCCCUCUGGGUUGUAAACUGCUUUUAUACGGGAAGAAAAAAUACUACGUGUAGUAUACUGACGGUACCGUAAGAAUAAGGAUCGGCUAACUCCGUGCCAGCAGCCGCGGUAAUACGGAGGAUCCAAGCGUUGUCCGGAUUUAUUGGGUUUAAUGGGUGCGUAGGCGGAUCUGUAAGUCAGUGGUGAAAGCCUGCAGGUUAACUGUAGAAUUGCCAUUGAAACUGAAGAUCUUGAAUGUGGUUAAAGUAGGCGGAAUGUAUCAUGUAGCGGUGAAAUGCUUAGAUAUGAUACAGAACACCGAUAGCGAAGGCAGCUUGCUGAACCAUUAUUGACGCUGAGGCACGAAAGCGUGGGGAGCGAACAGGAUUAGAUACCCCAGUAGUCC